This 619-nucleotide ribosomal RNA is filed under the name uncultured bacterium. RNAcentral describes it as "bacterial SSU rRNA". It matches the Rfam family "Bacterial small subunit ribosomal RNA", at positions 338 to 956 of the family's 1533-position model. The record is from RNAcentral.
CCUACGGGAGGCAGCAGUGGGGAAUAUUGGACAAUGGGCGAAAGCCUGAUCCAGCAAUGCCGCGUGUGUGAAGAAGGCCUUCGGGUUGUAAAGCACUUUAAGUUGGGAAGAAAAAGCUCUGGCUAAUAUCUAGAGCCUUGACGGUACCAACAGAAUAAGCACCGGCUAACUCUGUGCCAGCAGCCGCGGUAAUACAGAGGGUGCUAGCGUUAAUCGGAUUUACUGGGCGUAAAGCGUGCGUAGGCGGUUUGAUAAGUCGAUUGUGAAAGCCCCGGGCUUAACCGUGGGAAUUGCAGUUGAUACUGUCAGACUAGAAAACGGUAGAGGGAGGCGGAACUCCAGGUGUAGCGGUGAAAUGCGUAGAUAUCUGGAAGAACACCGAUGGCGAAGGCAACCUCCUGGGCCUGUUUUGACGCUGAGGCACGAAAGCGUGGGUAGCAAACAGGAUUAGAUACCCUGGUAGUCCACGCCGUAAACGAUGAGAACUUGACGUUGGUUUGCUUAGCAAAUCGUUGUCGUAGCUAACGCGAUAAGUUCUCCGCCUGGGGAAGUCGGCCGCAAGGUUGAAACUCAAAGGAUUGACCGGNGUGAGNGNGCGACGACGACGACGAGGAGGAGG